GCUCAGGAUGAACGCUGGCGGCGUGCCUAAUACAUGCAAGUCGAGCGAACAGAUAAGGAGCUUGCUCCUUUGACGUUAGCGGCGGACGGGUGAGUAACACGUGGAUAACCUACCUAUAAGACUGGGAUAACUUCGGGAAACCGGAGCUAAUACCGGAUAAGAUUUUGAACCGCAUGGUUCAAUAGUGAAAGACGGCCUUGCUGUCACUUAUAGAUGGAUCCGCGCCGUAUUAGCUAGUUGGUAAGGUAACGGCUUACCAAGGCAACGAUACGUAGCCGACCUGAGAGGGUGAUCGGCCACACUGGAACUGAGACACGGUCCAGACUCCUACGGGAGGCAGCAGUAGGGAAUCUUCCGCAAUGGGCGAAAGCCUGACGGAGCAACGCCGCGUGAGUGAUGAAGGUCUUCGGAUCGUAAAACUCUGUUAUCAGGGAAGAACAAACGUGUAAGUAACUGUGCAC
RNAcentral lists this ribosomal RNA (461 nucleotides) under Staphylococcus sp. R-45577. Its description in RNAcentral is "bacterial SSU rRNA". It matches the Rfam family "Bacterial small subunit ribosomal RNA", at positions 22 to 471 of the family's 1533-position model. The record is from RNAcentral. Lineage: Bacteria; Bacillati; Bacillota; Bacilli; Caryophanales; Staphylococcaceae.